GAGUUUGAUCAUGGCUCAGAAUCAACGCUGGCGGCGUGCCUCAGACAUGCAAGUCGAACGAUUAAACUUCCUUCGGGAAAGAUAGUAAAGUGGCGCACGGGUGAGUAACACGUAAGUAAUCUACCUUCGAGUGGGGAAUAACGUUCGGAAACGGACGCUAAUACCGCAUAAUGCAGCGGCACCUUAUGGUGACAGUUGUUAAAGGAGCAAUUCGCUUGAAGAGGAGCUUGCGGCAGAUUAGCUAGUUGGUAAGGUAAUGGCUUUACCAAGGCUACGAUCUGUAACCGGUCUAAGAGGACGGUCGGUCACACUGACACUGAAUAACGGGUCAGACUCCUACGGGAGGCAGCAGUCGGGAAUUUUGGGCAAUGGGCGAAAGCCUGACCCAGCAACGCCGCGUGAAGGAUGAAGUAUUUCGGUAUGUAAACUUCGAAAGAAUGGGAAGAAUCAAUGACGGUACCAUUUAUAAGGUCCGG
This 476-nucleotide ribosomal RNA is filed under the name uncultured bacterium. RNAcentral describes it as "bacterial SSU rRNA". It matches the Rfam family "Bacterial small subunit ribosomal RNA", at positions 9 to 496 of the family's 1533-position model. The record is from RNAcentral.